This 107-nucleotide small nucleolar RNA is filed under the name Gossypium arboreum. RNAcentral's name for it is "Plant small nucleolar RNA R71". It matches the Rfam family "Plant small nucleolar RNA R71". Rfam says of the family: R71 is a member of the C/D box family of snoRNAs containing the C (UGAUGA) and D (CUGA) box motifs. Multiple nearly identical copies of this snoRNA have been identified in Arabidopsis, and it is thought to function as a 2'-O-ribose methylation guide for 18S ribosomal RNA. The record is from Rfam by way of RNAcentral. Lineage: Eukaryota; Viridiplantae; Streptophyta; Magnoliopsida; Malvales; Malvaceae.
AUUCUGUGAUGAGAGCACUUUCGUAAUAACUCUUUGAAUCUUUCCCAUGCCUCAUACAAGGACUCAUCAUCCAUUUGUUGGAAAGCAGUAAUCUCAUUUCUCAGCUU